GACGAACGCUGGCGGCGUGCUUAACACAUGCAAGUCGAACGGAAAGGCCCUGCUUUUGUGGGGUGCUCGAGUGGCGAACGGGUGAGUAACACGUGAGUAACCUGCCCUUGACUUUGGGAUAACUUCAGGAAACUGGGGCUAAUACCGGAUAGGAGCUCCUGCUGCAUGGUGGGGGUUGGAAAGUUUCGGCGGUUGGGGAUGGACUCGCGGCUUAUCAGCUUGUUGGUGGGGUAGUGGCUUACCAAGGCUUUGACGGGUAGCCGGCCUGAGAGGGUGACCGGCCACAUUGGGACUGAGAUACGGCCCAGACUCCUACGGGAGGCAGCAGUGGGGAAUAUUGCACAACGGGCGGAAGCCUGAUGCAGCAACGCCGCGUGCGGGAUGACGGCCUUCGGGUUGUAAACCGCUUUCGCCUGUGACGAAGCGUGAGUGACGGUAAUGGGUAAAGAAGCACCGGCUAACUACGUG
This 468-nucleotide ribosomal RNA is filed under the name uncultured bacterium. Its description in RNAcentral is "partial 16S ribosomal RNA". It matches the Rfam family "Bacterial small subunit ribosomal RNA", at positions 28 to 507 of the family's 1533-position model. The record is from RNAcentral.